RNAcentral lists this unclassified non-coding RNA (330 nucleotides) under soil metagenome. RNAcentral describes it as "partial contains 5.8S ribosomal RNA, internal transcribed spacer 2, and large subunit ribosomal RNA". The stretch from base 1 to 120 matches the Rfam family "5.8S ribosomal RNA", at positions 35 to 154 of the family's 154-position model. The record is from RNAcentral.
GAUGAAGAACGCAGCGAAAUGCGAUAAGUAAUGUGAAUUGCAGAAUUCAGUGAAUCAUCGAAUCUUUGAACGCACAUUGCGCCCCUUGGUAUUCCGAGGGGCAUGCCUGUUCGAGCGUCAUUAUAACCCCUCAAGCUUAGCUUGGUGUUGGGGCUUGCUGGAAUAGAGCAGCCCUUAAAAUCAGUGGCGGUGCCAUUAGGCUCUAAGCGUAGUAAUUCUUCUCGCUAUAGGGUUCUGGUGGAUGCUUGCCAUUAACCUCUAAUUUUCUAUGGUUGACCUCGGAUCAGGUAGGGAUACCCGCUGAACUUAAGCAUAUCAAUAAGCGGAGGA